This 85-nucleotide non-coding RNA is filed under the name Anaerobutyricum soehngenii. RNAcentral describes it as "Cyclic di-GMP-I riboswitch". It matches the Rfam family "c-di-GMP-I riboswitch aptamer". From Rfam's summary of the family: GEMM was predicted in a large-scale screen for bacterial structured RNA regulatory elements. Genes associated with GEMM are involved in a diverse array of functions, including chemotaxis regulation, signal transduction, secretion and chitin. The record is from RNAcentral. Lineage: Bacteria; Bacillati; Bacillota; Clostridia; Lachnospirales; Lachnospiraceae.
UUUAAAGGCAAACCUGCUGAAAGGCAGAGACGCAAAGCUAGAAGGGGCUAAAGUCAGAAAGAUUAACCAGGUCAGCCAGUUGCCA